Molecule: ribosomal RNA, 465 nt
Filed under: Beauveria bassiana
Lineage: Eukaryota; Fungi; Ascomycota; Sordariomycetes; Hypocreales; Cordycipitaceae
Description: eukaryotic LSU rRNA
Rfam family: 5.8S ribosomal RNA (bases 89-242)
Source: RNAcentral
CGGACUGGACCAGCGGCCCGCCGGGGACCUCAAACUCUUGUAUUCCAGCAUCUUCUGAAUACGCCGCAAGGCAAAACAAAUGAAUCAAAACUUUCAACAACGGAUCUCUUGGCUCUGGCAUCGAUGAAGAACGCAGCGAAACGCGAUAAGUAAUGUGAAUUGCAGAAUCCAGUGAAUCAUCGAAUCUUUGAACGCACAUUGCGCCCGCCAGCAUUCUGGCGGGCAUGCCUGUUCGAGCGUCAUUUCAACCCUCGACCUCCCCUUGGGGAGGUCGGCGUUGGGGACCGGCAGCACACCGCCGGCCCUGAAAUGGAGUGGCGGCCCGUCCGCGGCGACCUCUGCGCAGUAAUACAGCUCGCACCGGGACCCCGACGCGGCCACGCCGUAAAACACCCAACUUCUGAACGUUGACCUCGAAUCAGGUAGGACUACCCGCUGAACUUAAGCAUAUCAAUAAGCGGAGGA